Molecule: non-coding RNA, 700 nt
Organism: Cinara cedri
Lineage: Eukaryota; Metazoa; Arthropoda; Insecta; Hemiptera; Aphididae
Source: the annotation of a GenBank genome assembly
AAAAAAAAAAAAAAAACAACAAAUAAAAAACACGAAGUAAAUAUUACAAUAAUAUUGUUUGUGUACGUAACUUUGUCUCUAUAUAUUAUACAAUAACGAAAUUUACUUGUCUUCGUGACGAAACAUGUGCAAUGUCUGUAUGGAUCUGUAUUUAUAUUAUUAUUAUUAUUUUUUUUUUUUUUUUUUUUUUGUUUUUAACUUAAAUAUCGAACACACCCUAGUCAAUAAGUGAUGCUUUAACGCACUAAUUAAUGCACUUAAGUGAUUUUGUAUACUUACAUUUUCAAUUUAUAAAUCUUUAAAACGUUUUCUUUUUAUUUAAAAAAAAUAAAAAAAAAAAAAAGUUUACGAAAAUAUUAUGUGAAACAUUAUCUUUAUUAUUAUACAUUUAUUUGUUAUAUUUUUUUAUUAUUUUUCUUAUUUCAAUUUAAAUAUAUUGUAUUAUAAUUUAUCGUGUAAUAUAUAUAAUAGGCAUUUCAUGACUUUUCAAACAGUAUAUAAUUUUUGUAUUAUGUAAUUAAUUUAUUUUGUAUUAGAAACUUGACCAGUUUAUAUAUUAUAUUAUAUAACAUACUUAAUAUAUUUACCAAAGACAUUAUUUUAGAAAAUCUUGAAAUUCGUUUUAAUAAUAAAAACAAUUUAUAUUAUAUUAUAUUAAAAAAAAAAAAAAAACUAGUGUGGAUAAAACUGUAAAUUAUGC